Non-coding RNA from Potamilus streckersoni, 68 nucleotides. The record is from the annotation of a GenBank genome assembly. Lineage: Eukaryota; Metazoa; Mollusca; Bivalvia; Unionida; Unionidae.
GAUGGCCUAGUUAUUAGAGCGUUCGUCUCGGAUUCGGGAAGUCACGGGUUCGAACCCCGGCCUAAUCA